Molecule: ribosomal RNA, 389 nt
Filed under: Dinophyceae sp.
Lineage: Eukaryota; Dinophyceae
Description: partial small subunit ribosomal RNA
Rfam family: Eukaryotic small subunit ribosomal RNA
Source: RNAcentral
AUUCCAGCUCCAAUAGCAUAUUUUAAAGUUGUUGCGGUUAAAAACCUCGUAGUUGGAUUUCUGCCGAGGACGACCGGUCCGCCCUCUUGGUGAGCAUCUGGCUCGGCCUGGGCAUCCUCUUGGAGAACGUAGCUGCACUUGACUGUGUGGGGCGGUAUCCAGGAUUUUUACUUUGGGGAAAUUAGAAUGUUUCAAGCAGGCGUACGCUUUGAAUACAUUAGCAUGGAAUAAUAAGAUAGGACCUCGGUUGUAUUUUGUUGGUUUCUAGAGCUGAGGUAAUGAUUAAUAGGGAUAGUUGGGGGCAUUCGUAUUUAACUGUCAGAGGUGAACUUCUUGGAUUUGUUAAAGACGGACUACUGCGAAAGCAUUUGCCAAGGAUGCUUUCAUCA